This is a long non-coding RNA of Drosophila arizonae, 1425 nucleotides long. The record is from RefSeq and is a predicted model, not a curated record. NCBI's taxonomy places the organism in Eukaryota, Metazoa, Arthropoda, Insecta, Diptera, Drosophilidae.
CUUUGCGUGAGGAUUGUUUUGCGUGCGAGCGCUUCGACGCCGUUAGUUUUUUAGCUAGAGAACAGCAGCAAAGAGCCAAAAGCGAAAAGCGAAUAACGAAUCCCGAAAGCAAAAACAAAAAACAAAAAAACGAAGCAACAAACUGCAGCUAACAAUUACGCGAAUUGAAACAUACGUUGCUACGCAGUACUGCAGUGUACGUGUGUGUGCAAGUUAGUUAGUUAGUGACUUGUGUGUGUGUGUGACUCUUUUUGUGUGUUUGUGUGUGUGUGCAUUAGUGUAUGCACAUAUUUGCAAUUUCCCGCAGCGAGUCGUGUGCAGAUUUUUGUGUUUUUGACAUUGCACCUGAGCGGGCAGAGCAGCAGCAACAACAACAGCAGGAGCAGCAACAACAGCUGCAGAAUAAGGAAACACAACGAACCGGCGAUCGACCUAACGGCACCUUUUUGCAUUUUGCUGCCAUCACUUGGCUGAGCGUGUGUAUGUGUGCGGCGCUGUUGCUUCACAGCCCUGUCUGCAUGUGUGUGUGAGUGUGUGUGUGGCUGCGUGUGUGUCUGCGUGUGUUUACUUGUGCAUGACGUGCAGUCACGUGUUCUAAGGUGAUUUUAACGAGUUCCGUGAUACGCGAAAUAAGAUAAGCAACAGCGAAUAAAAGUCACUAGCAACGACAAACGACGCAAAAGAAAAAUAUAAAUAAAAACAAAAAGUGCAAGAAGAAACCGAAAUAAUAAAGAGAAAAAGUUACAAGUAAAAUAACAAAAAACAACAACUACAGUUACUCACUCCGCGACGCACGCACUCAUACAUGCUCUGUCUCGUUCUAACGCAGUUGAAAGCAAAUCUGCAACAAAUUGCACUAGAUAUGUUUACCUGAGCAAAACGAAAUAUCCAAAGUAAAUAAACUUCAAAUAUUCACGGAAAAUGGUGUAAAAAUAGUGUGUUAAAUAUAUUGAAGCAAAAGCUCAUGAAUAAAAUAUUAUUUACACGUAACUAAAACAUAUUGCUAAUUGCAUUUAUUUGAACAUCGUAAAGACUUAAAAACGAAAAAAUAUCAACAUGCGGUUUCUACAUGUUUUUUACCAACUGGCUUUUCUGCUCACAAUAUUAACUGCCAUUGCUAAUGUCUUAAUGCCUUUUGUUGCGAUGUUUGGAAAUUGACAUUUAAUUACAAGUUAACCUCCCGGCCACGUCGAGCGACAUUAGUUGCUAUCAGACACGAAAACACUAUGGUGUUUGAGUAUAUACUGUAUACCACUGUGUGCAUAAGGCAAUAGCUGUACAGAUUUCUAUUACUCAUAAAUGUAUAUUAAAUUACAAUCGAAACGCAGAUAAUUCAUUGAUUUUCUGUAUGCCCAAUGGGGGCAACACUUUAAUAUUAUAUUGAAUUAGCCUUCAUUAACGACGACGAAGGUGUUGACAUUUAAG